GGUUGCGGCCAUAUCUAGCAGAAAGCACCGUUUCCCGUCCGAUCAACUGUAGUUAAGCUGCUAAGAGCCUGACCGCGUAGCGGAGCGGCAGACCAUACCCUAACAUCAGACGCUGC
RNAcentral lists this ribosomal RNA (116 nucleotides) under Bacillus cereus. Lineage: Bacteria; Bacillati; Bacillota; Bacilli; Caryophanales; Bacillaceae. The record is from RNAcentral.